UUUUGCCUACAAAGAUGGCAGUGUAGAUGUUUUUAUUAUGGUCGUUACAUCAUCUGGUUGCAAAAGAAAAGUAAAUGUGACGCCUGCUGUAGAGACUAUUUCUAGUAAUCGAAGUAAAAUAUUAAUUAUUGGUGCAGGAAUGGCUGGCCUAUCUGCUGCUGGUCAUCUAGUUAAAAAUGGCGUUACAGAUUUCAAAAUAUUAGAAGCAAGAAAUAGCAUCGGGGGAAGAAUAGUGUCAACAAAUACAAAUAACCAUAAAAUCGAGCUGGGCGCAAAUUGGAUACACGGUGUUCUAGGAAACCCUAUGUAUUUGAUUGCGAUGGUAAACGGUUUAAUUGAUAUUGUACGUGUUCCCUCGCCACAUAUUCAUAUUCAUAUUCAUUCAUAUUCAUAUUUAUUUCAAGUUCAGUUGAUCCAUACAUGAGUUGAAAGUACAAACUGUUGGAUAUAGAACGUGUCACAAAGUAAAUACUAGUCUAAGUUCCCAAUCAUUGGAACAGAGUCAAAAUACCCGAUAAGAACGAUAUAUGAUACAGUACACACAUUAUUAAAAUUUCAUUUAAAUACAAUAAGAUAAAACCAUAAAUUAAAAGUACCAGUAACAUAUGUAUUCAACAAUGACUUUAACAUGAAGUAUAAAAAAAA
Cryptotermes secundus is the source of this 645-nucleotide long non-coding RNA. RefSeq lists it as uncharacterized. Lineage: Eukaryota; Metazoa; Arthropoda; Insecta; Blattodea; Kalotermitidae. The record is from RefSeq and is a predicted model, not a curated record. The transcript is spliced from 2 exons.